AACUUUUAACAAUGGAUCUCUUGGUUCUGGCAUCGAUGAAGAACGCAGCGAAAUGCGAUAAGUAAUGUGAAUUGCAGAAUUCAGCGAAUCAUCGAAUCUUUGAACGCACAUUGCGCCUCCGGGUAUUCCUGGAGGCAUGCCUGUUCGAGCGUCGUUAAAGACCAUGAGGCUUUGCCUUGCGAUGAGCUCCUGGCGCUCUCUCUUUGGAGAAGCCAGUUGCUUCAAACUGAUUGGCGCCUGAAGUCGGCCGAAGCACAGCGAAAUGCGUUCCGGGCCUGGGGGAAGGACUGCCUGGACCGCAGUCAUAUGUUGGUUGCCUUAGGAGCAGGAAAGAUUCCCCGCUGAACUUAAGCAUAUAACUACGAGGAGGCU
Molecule: unclassified non-coding RNA, 372 nt
Filed under: uncultured Ascomycota
Lineage: Eukaryota; Fungi; Ascomycota
Description: sequence contains ITS2
Rfam family: 5.8S ribosomal RNA (bases 1-154)
Source: RNAcentral